This 595-nucleotide ribosomal RNA is filed under the name Candida tropicalis. Its description in RNAcentral is "LSU rRNA". It matches the Rfam family "Eukaryotic large subunit ribosomal RNA", at positions 39 to 650 of the family's 3401-position model. The record is from RNAcentral. Lineage: Eukaryota; Fungi; Ascomycota; Pichiomycetes; Serinales; Debaryomycetaceae.
CAUAUCAAUAAGCGGAGGAAAAGAAACCAACAGGGAUUGCCUUAGUAGCGGCGAGUGAAGCGGCAAAAGCUCAAAUUUGAAAUCUGGCUCUUUCAGAGUCCGAGUUGUAAUUUGAAGAAGGUAUCUUUGGGUCUGGCUCUUGUCUAUGUUUCUUGGAACAGAACGUCACAGAGGGUGAGAAUCCCGUGCGAUGAGAUGAUCCAGGCCUAUGUAAAGUUCCUUCGAAGAGUCGAGUUGUUUGGGAAUGCAGCUCUAAGUGGGUGGUAAAUUCCAUCUAAAGCUAAAUAUUGGCGAGAGACCGAUAGCGAACAAGUACAGUGAUGGAAAGAUGAAAAGAACUUUGAAAAGAGAGUGAAAAAGUACGUGAAAUUGUUGAAAGGGAAGGGCUUGAGAUCAGACUUGGUAUUUUGUAUGUUACUUCUUCGGGGGUGGCCUCUACAGUUUAUCGGGCCAGCAUCAGUUUGGGCGGUAGGAGAAUUGCGUUGGAAUGUGGCACGGCUUCGGUUGUGUGUUAUAGCCUUCGUCGAUACUGCCAGCCUAGACUGAGGACUGCGGUUUAUACCUAGGAUGUUGGCAUAAUGAUCUUAAGUCGCCC